This 216-nucleotide long non-coding RNA is filed under the name Elaeis guineensis (African oil palm). RNAcentral describes it as "long non-coding RNA (EGUI_LNC049959)". Lineage: Eukaryota; Viridiplantae; Streptophyta; Magnoliopsida; Arecales; Arecaceae. The record is from RNAcentral.
AUAGGAACGACUAAUCUGACCUUCACAUUCUCAGGGUACUGCAGGACAUCAAACAUCUUCUCCAUCUCUCGAAUCCAUAUCUCUGCAGCCAUAGGAUCAGAUCCACCCUCAAAUAGAGGUGGGUUGAGUCUUCUGAAUCUCUCAUAGUAUGACUUCAUAGAUAAUGUAGAUCGAGGAGCAGCUUGUGCCUGCUGCUGGAUAAGCUGAGCCACCACU